GACGAACGCUGGCGGCGUGCUUAACACAUGCAAGUCGAACGGAAAGGCCCUGCUUUUGUGGGGUGCUCGAGUGGCGAACGGGUGAGUAACACGUGAGUAACCUGCCCUUGACUUUGGGAUAACUUCAGGAAACUGGGGCUAAUACCGGAUAGGAGCUCCUGCUGCAUGGUGGGGGUUGGAAAGUUUCGGCGGUUGGGGAUGGACUCGCGGCUUAUCAGCUUGUUGGUGGGGUAGUGGCUUACCAAGGCUUUGACGGGUAGCCGACCUGAGAGGGUGACCGGCCACAUUGGGACUGAGAUACGGCCCAGACUCCUACGGGAGGCAGCAGUGGGGAAUAUUGCACAAUGGGCGGAAGCCUGAUGCAGCAACGCCGCGUGCGGGAUGACGGCCUUCGGGUUGUAAACCGCUUUCGCCUGUGACGAAGCGUGAGUGACGGUGAUGGGUAAAGAAGCACCGGCUAACUACGUG
Molecule: ribosomal RNA, 468 nt
Filed under: uncultured bacterium
Lineage: Bacteria
Description: partial 16S ribosomal RNA
Rfam family: Bacterial small subunit ribosomal RNA
Source: RNAcentral